This 2697-nucleotide ribosomal RNA is filed under the name Sclerogryllus sp. BYU-IGC-OR433. RNAcentral's name for it is "eukaryotic LSU rRNA". It matches the Rfam family "Eukaryotic large subunit ribosomal RNA", at positions 91 to 1763 of the family's 3401-position model. The record is from RNAcentral. Lineage: Eukaryota; Metazoa; Arthropoda; Insecta; Orthoptera; Gryllidae.
GAGCGAACAGGGAAGAGCCCAGCACCGAAUCUCCCGGCCCUUAUCGGCCGCGGCGAAAUGUGGUGUUCAGGAGCGGCCGUUCCCGCGGCGCGCGCUCGCUCAAAGUCCUCUUGAAAGGGGCCACGGCCCGUAGAGGGUGCCAGGCCCGUAUGGGGCGGCGCGCGCGUCCGGGUAGGGCCCAGUCUCCUCCGAGUCGGGUUGCUUGAGAUCGCAGCCCUAAGCAGGUGGUAAACUCCAUCUAAGGCKAAAUACUACCACGAGACCGAUASCKAACAAGUACCGUGAGGGAAAGUUGAAAAGAACUUUGAAGAGAGAGUUCAAGAGUACGUGAAACCGCCCAAGGGGAAACGGAAGGUGUUUGAGCAAACUAGUCCGGGGAAACUCAUCUCCGCUCGCGCGCACGCUCUCAGCUACCCGUCCGCCGGGCGGGGUUCGGCGGGGCGCUUCGCGGCGCUCCGCCGCGUCUACGCCCGGAGACUAUCGGACGGGACAACUAAGAUUAGCUUUGUCGCGCCUGGCCACGGAACCUACGCGAGUAUGCGCGCGGGCGGUGUGCACUUUUCCUUCGACAUAGUGCGUCGCGACCCGUUGGUCGGCGGCCUAAGGCCCGGGGCUCAGUCGGGGCCGGGAGCGUCCCCGCCCGCGAGGGUCGGCGCGCUGUACGUUUUUUUUUAAAACGUCGUGUCCCGGCCUCAGUCCCCGGUGUGCGUACGGGUGGGCGGCUGCCACGGCGGCGCCCUUUGUUCCCCGGCGCUUACCCGGCCGCCGUGUAAGACCGCUGAUGUAAUCUCGGCGGCAGUAACGACGAGUUAUAGAAUACGUGGAAGACGUCAUGACCGGCCAUUUUCUGGGCGGCUCGAUGGGAACCUUCGUCUCGCGUCGGCGCGGGCGUUCCGCUUCGCGGCGAACGUUCGUGGGGGCGCGGGGCGAGUCCUUUCGCGGUCGCUCCGAUUGUCGGCGUGUCACUCCGGACCAGCCUGCGGGCCUUCACAAGCGCGGGACGGCGGGGGUUUAAGUCUAGCGCGCGGCGGGUGGCUCCUCACGAGGCCGCCCUCGCGCGUAUCCUCCCGAUAAACCGUCCGCGUGGUGACAGGAGGGGGGAGAUCGUAGCGAAAGCUCUCUCGUGAUCACAGAGCGGUGUAAGUCUCAGACCACUUUCCGACCCGUCUUGAAACACGGACCAAGGAGUCUAACAUGUGCGCGAGUCAAAGGGCAGUACUAAACCCUAAAGGCGAAAUGAAAGUGAAAGCGGGGGAGCGCGCGGCGCUUGACCGCCCGCGCAGGCUCUCCCGGCGAAGGGAAGAUGGCCGGGGCGUUCGCCCCCGCGCAGAGGGGCGCGCGCCUAGACACUUCGGCUCGCAUUCCCUGGGCGUCGCUCGCCGAGAGCGGCGGCGCACCUAGAGCGCACACGUUGGUACCCGAAAGAUGGUGAACUAUGCCUGGCCAGGGCGAAGCCAGGGGAAACCCUGGUGGAGGCCCGUAGCGAUUCUGACGUGCAAAUCGAUCGUCUGAGCUGGGUAUAGGGGCGAAAGACUAAUCGAACCAUCUAGUAGCUGGUUCCCUCCGAAGUUUCCCUCAGGAUAGCUGGCGCUCGAAAACGUGAAAUACAAUGACAAACACCGAAUCUCAUUCGGUAAAGCGAAUGAUUAGAGGCCUUAGGGCCGAAACGGCCUUAACCUAUUCUCAAACUUUAAAUGAGUGAGAACGCAGGCAUGCUCAAAUAACGCCCAUGGGAUAGAAAUAUAUAUAUUUAUAUUUCAAUAGAGCGACUGAUGCCUGGCGUGAAAGAGACAGAACGAAAGUUAUUUUAUAUAUUUUUUUGUGAAAAGCUCUUUGUACGGAUCGAUGAGUGUCCAGUGGGCCAUUUUUGGUAAGCAGAACUGGCGCUGUGGGAUGAACCAAACGCUAAGCUAAGGCGCCUAAAUCGACGCUCAUGGGAAACCAUGAAGGGCGUUGUUUGCUUAAGACAGCUGGGCAGUGGCCAUGGAAGUCGGAAUCUGCUAAGGAGUGUGUAACAACUCACCAGCCGAAGCAACUAGCCCUGAAAAUGGACGGCGCUGAAGCGUUGUGCCUAUGCUUGGCCGCCGGGGCAAGGUGAGGGAGCCCGCACGUCCCGCGUCGGGUGCGCCGUUCUAAAGCCUAACCAGCUCGUUCGGUGCAGGAUCCCUGUGAAGCCCCGGUGAGUAGGAGGGUCGCGACGGUGUGCGCAGAAGGGUUGGGCGCGAGCCUGCCUGGAGCCGCCGUCGGUGCAGAUCUUGGUAGUAGUAGCAAAUACUCUAGCGAGACCCUUGAGGACUGAUGCGGAGAAGGGUUUCGUGUGAACAGCCGUUGCACACGAGUCAGUCGAUCCUAAGCCCUAGGGGAAACCCGAUGAAGAUGCCGGCCCUUCCGACCCACGUGAAGCAACCACGUGCCAAAAUUGAUUGUCUGCCCAAUAGCGCGUAGGCGAGCGGCCGCCCGGGAUCGUGCGAACAAAGGAAGGCCGCAUCGGGCGAAAGGGAAUCCGGUCCCCAUUCCGGAACCCGGUCGCGGAACCGUCACGUCGAGCCCGGCGUCUCAGUACGCACUAGUUCGUCGGGGUAACCUAACAUGACCCGGAGAAGCCGUGGGGAUGCCUGGGAAGAGUUUUCUUUUCUGUUUGAGCGCUCGGGUUCCCUGGAAUUGCCUAGCGCAGAGAGAGGGAAUGGGGCGCGUAGA